Molecule: ribosomal RNA, 121 nt
Filed under: Pteropus vampyrus (large flying fox)
Lineage: Eukaryota; Metazoa; Chordata; Mammalia; Chiroptera; Pteropodidae
Source: RNAcentral
CACUACGGCCAUGCUACCCUCCUAAACAAGCCGAUCUCAUCUGAUCUCGGAAGCGAAGCAAGGUUGGGCCUGAUUAAUACUUGGAUGGGAGAUCACCAAGGAAGACCAGGUGCUGUAGGUG